This 253-nucleotide ribosomal RNA is filed under the name uncultured bacterium. Its description in RNAcentral is "partial 16S ribosomal RNA". It matches the Rfam family "Bacterial small subunit ribosomal RNA", at positions 524 to 776 of the family's 1533-position model. The record is from RNAcentral.
UACAGAGGGUGCGAGCGUUAAUCGGAAUUACUGGGCGUAAAGCGCACGUAGGCGGCUUGGUAUGUCGGGUGUGAAAUCCCCGGGCUCAACCUGGGAACUGCAUCCGAAACUGCCUUGCUAGAGUAUGGGAGAGGGAAGUGGAAUUUCCGGUGUAGCGGUGAAAUGCGUAGAUAUCGGAAGGAACAUCAGUGGCGAAGGCGACUUCCUGGACCAAUACUGACGCUCAGGUGCGAAAGCGUGGGGAGCGAACAGG